CAGCCGCCGCGGGAAUACGUAGGGUGCGAGCGUUAGUCGGAAUUACUGGGCGUAAAGCGUGCGCAGGCGGUUAUAUAAGACAGAUGUGAAAUCCCCGGGCUCAACCUGGGACCUGCAUUUGUGACUGUAUAGCUAGAGUACGGUAGAGGGGGAUGGAAUUCCGCGUGUAGCAGUGAAAUGCGUAGAUAUGCGGAGGAACACCGAUGGCGAAGGCAAUCCCCUGGACCUGUACUGACGCUCAUGCACGAAAGCGUGGGGAGCAAACAGGAUUAGAUACCCCAGUAGUCCCUGUCUCUUAUAC
This 301-nucleotide ribosomal RNA is filed under the name uncultured bacterium. RNAcentral describes it as "partial 16S ribosomal RNA". It matches the Rfam family "Bacterial small subunit ribosomal RNA", at positions 509 to 807 of the family's 1533-position model. The record is from RNAcentral.